RNAcentral lists this ribosomal RNA (69 nucleotides) under Ligilactobacillus salivarius. Its description in RNAcentral is "Lactobacillus salivarius partial 16S ribosomal RNA". It matches the Rfam family "Bacterial small subunit ribosomal RNA", at positions 1 to 67 of the family's 1533-position model. The record is from RNAcentral. Lineage: Bacteria; Bacillati; Bacillota; Bacilli; Lactobacillales; Lactobacillaceae.
UUUAAAAUGAGAGUUUGAUCCUGGCUCAGGACGAACGCUGGCGGCGUGCCUAAUACAUGCAAGUCGAAC